GUGGAACCUCAGCUACCUUUUCCAUGCCUUAAAAGCUGUACUUUAUCAACUUUUACAUAUUUCCCAUUUAUCACUUCUGAGCAACAUGGUUUGUUUUUCUGUCAACCCUUGCUUUAUUUGGAUCCCUUGUUCAUUUACAUUUCAUGUAAUUAGUGCUGUACUGGGUGUAAAUCGAUGCUCUUAAUUGCUUUUCAUUUUCCCAGCCUAGUCCAUCUUAGGUUUCUGUCUCCUGUUUUGGGUUAUUUAAAAAAAGUUCUAGUUUUCCCCCGUUUAUUAGCUGAAUCAUACACCUUCUUAUUAUUCUUUAGGUGGUUACUCCUGCCUCGUCUCAGAACCUCUCCGGACUUGGUACUUUGUACCUGGUGUCCGCCCACCCCUUGCCCUCCAGCUCUCCAGUCCUUGCAGCUUCUUGGAUCUUCCUUCCACCCCCCACUCACCCCCCCCCCCCCCGCCCUUUAGCAUUCCCUUUAGUGCUGAUCUGGCGGUGAUGCGUUAUUUCCCGUUUUUGCCUGAAAACAUCUGACUUUUCAUUUCUUUAAACAUUUUUUUUAAUUUUUUAAAAUGUUUUUAGUUAUUUCUGAGACAGAGAGAGACACAGCAUGAGCCGGAGAGAGGCAGAGAGAGAGGGAGACAGAAUCUGAAGCAGGCUCCGGGCUCUGAGCUGUCAGCACAGAGCGUGACGUGGGUUCGAACUCAUGGAGUGUGGUAUCAUGACCUGAGCUGAAGUCGGACGCUCAACCGAUUGAGCCACCCAGGUGCCCCUCUUUAAUAAAAACUUUAAUGUUAAUUUAUUUGUGAGACAAAGAGUGUGAGCGGGGGAGGAACAGAGAGAGAAGGAGACACAGAAUCAGAAGCAGGCUCCAGGCUCCGAGCUGUCGGCACAGAGCCCAACAUGGGGCUCGAACUCACGAACUGUGAGAUCAUGACCUGAGCCGAAGUCGGACGCUUAACCGACUGAACCCCCCCAGGCACCCCUGUACUUUUCAUUUAAAGGGCAUUUUCAUGGAGUUGCGGAUUCUAGGUUGGAAGCUGCGGUCUUCCCGCCCCUCUGCAGCCCUCCCACUUUCCCGUCCGCAUCCGGAAUUCUUCUUGACGCCUUACUACUGCCCCUUUUAAGGGCUCCGAGUUACGAGUUUGUCGCUGCUGAAAUCCUGCAAUCAGAACUUCGUUUACAAACUCACCAGGUCCUACGUAGCUGACGUUGCCGAGGACAUACGGUGUCCCACGCCACACCGAAGCUCUGAUUACUUCCUCUUAACGUUCCUCGUACCUUUUUCUGGAAUAAACCAAAGGCACACUGAAUGGAUUCUGCCGUACUUGCUACUGGCGUUUCUUUAACACCCACGGCUCUUCCUCCUCCUCUGCUCAUGCCUGGGCAUUACUUACCGCUGUUGGUGAUGGUGCUGGGCCUAAGGAGGUUUCUAGACUUUGCUACAAACCAUGUGAACCUGACAAAGUAUGCACACAAUAUACAAACAAUUCUGUUAUUUAUUUAUUUUGAAUAAAAAAGUGGCCAAGAUAAUACUGCGGCUCUGCAUACAAAACACCACAUGUUCGAGGUCGUUCCAUAUUUACAAAACUGCCGUUAUGUACAGCACCGGAUAUUCACAGCAACUUUACUAGAAGCAUACGAGCAACUGAGGGGCGUCCAAAGUGGGAAAAAGCUAAAAACCAACCAUCUUUCAUUAACUGGAAAACCGGCCAACCAGCUGACUGGUAAAGGAAACGAGUACCUGUUAGGUUUUCCUUCUUCAGCAGUGACUAAAGAAAGACUGCCCCGCAGGGCUGUAUGCCGACAACACACCCUCCACAACCUCUUUGUUUUUUCUCCGCUCUUCUCCACUUCAAACUUGUCCCAGCAACCUUUGCCCUAGUAUUAAAUAAAAGCUCAGGACACUGGGAUAUGAUCUUCAGGAAAAGGCAGCGAACGAGUGCUGAUGAUGUGGCGUGGCCUGGUUCAACCCAGGAAGCCCAGUUCGAACCCAAGCGGGACUCUGGCCCUCUUCGGGUCGGCAGUCUUUGCAGUUUUGAACGCGCUGGAAAAAGGGAACCAUGCUCCGUCUUGAAGGUGGCAGGAAGUGACUCAUUCUACGCAUCAGGAGCACCUACUCCGUGCAAGGCACUUGACAUUAGGUGCUGCAGGAACUACCAAGAUGAAGCAGACAGUCCCUGCCCUUGAGGAGCUUACAAUCUAAUCAUGAACACUAUGUACAUAUAUACAGUGCAGAGAAGCAACCAAUUUUUCUGGAUGCAGGGUAUUCCAGGCCAGAGGUGUUCCUGUUCUUAAAGUUUCCUUUAAAUGCCAAAAGUCGAAACCACACCACCCAACCAGAUGGUAAGCACUGAGAAACUCUCUCUCUCUAACCUUAAGAUUUUUAGAUGCCUGUUCUUUUCAUUAAAAAAAAAAAAAAAAAAAAGUCCUAUGUGAACAUACAUAUAAUUCAAAGCUGAGCACGAAGAUUAGCACAGGCAUUGGGUAAACAUAAACUAUGUAUCACUAUACACAACACACUAAUUUUUCUAUGCGGUCUUGUUUCUGUAUAAACAGGUUUGAUAUUCAUGUUCCUUUCGUAAAGUACAAAUCUGAGUCAAAGUCCUGAAGAAGCCAUAAUAACCCAUUUUUGCUUUUAGUUUUGCAUUAGCACCCAGACCAAAGCGCGCGACACCCCAGCAGUCUGGUCGCCAAACGUAAAACCGAUAAAGCACGAAAGCGUCUCGUAGCCAUUGUGCCACCUCUUCCGGGGUCCAGCCUGACCACCUUAUGGGAUCUUUCUGCGAGAGUAACAGGAUGUCGUGAUGGCGAGGGAAGCAGAUUUUUACCAUGGAAACGGACAAGAUUUAGAGUGCCGAACUUUAAAUGAACCUCCCCGGCCCAGUUACGGCGGCUCACCUGGACGGGCUCCGCCUGUACUGCGUCGGGAGGCGGGCAUCAUCUUGCCUUCUUUUUAGCUCCCGCCCAGCCUGGAACGAAUGGCACCGCCGUGUUGGCCGUCUGAACAAUCCUGCCCUGAAUAAACUCAUUCACCGACUGGGACCUCAGGCUGUAUAUUAAGACCCGCCCCACCCCGAGUAUAAUUAUAACAAAAAAAAAAAAAAAAAAAAAGCAAGGUAAGAAAAGCUGAGUCACCUAAUCCGAUAAAGACACUGGGGGAGAAGCAGUCAUAUUCUAAAAGGAAUAACUUCUUCAUAGGAUAUUUUUUUUGACAGCCAUUCGCCCCUUAAACUGAUCGGUUGAAACACAGCAAGUUUUCAGAAGCAGCCCUGCUCUAACGGAGUACAUUUGCAGAGGGAGGCCGCAGCCUGCCUACCAGACUCAGCCUGGCUGGGAGGCUUCAUACUGAUCUACAGCAGCACCUGGGAAACGAGUGCCCAGUCUUCCGAAAAACCCCACUGUUUCAUCAGGACAGUGACGCUACAGUAUUUCAGACCAUUAGAAACAACUCUGUAUUUUGCAAAUUUGACUUAAUUCCACUUAAGGACAGUCAGAUUUCACACGCUCUGUAAUCACUUAAAAAGUUUUUUUAACGUUUUCUAUUUUGAGAGAGAGGAAGAGACAGAGAGCGGGGAAGGGAAAGAGCGGGAGACAGAAUCCCAAGCAGGCUCUGCACUGUCGGUACAGGGCCCGACGUGGGGCUCGAUCCUAUGAACCGUCAGAUCAUGGCCUGAGCGGAAAUCAGAGAGCUGGACACUAAACUGACCGAGCCACCCAGGCGCCCCUGUGAUCACUUUAAAUAGCAGGUAUCAUCUUAGCAAAUGUGAAGAUCAUAACUCCCCAAACCUUUCUUAGCCCCAAGAAAGAGCGGUCUGAAGUUUAGUAACUAUCAGACCUGAGACACACACCUCCUCCGCUCGAAGCUGUGCAUGCUUCCACUAACGACUAACAUGAAAACAAGUCACCGCAGUUAGAUCUUUUAGAGGCACCCGUAAAACCGACAACCUUGAGGGACGAGGUUAGAUUCUUGAGACAAGCUGGAGCCUCACCGAACUGUGCAACUCCACGGACACACAGAAAGGGAGCGUGUGAGCAGAGAGGUGUGUUCGUGAUUGAUCACGGGAGCCACGCGGACGCCCUCAAGGGUCCACAAGGGGGCUAACAUUAAGACAUUCAUUCAUUUCUCUGCCUAUUGGCUGUUUUCACCGCCCAAUCUCUUUAAAAAAAAAAGAA
This is a long non-coding RNA of Acinonyx jubatus (cheetah), 4165 nucleotides long. RefSeq lists it as uncharacterized. The transcript is spliced from 2 exons. The record is from RefSeq and is a predicted model, not a curated record. Lineage: Eukaryota; Metazoa; Chordata; Mammalia; Carnivora; Felidae.